Oreochromis aureus is the source of this 1306-nucleotide long non-coding RNA. The record is from Ensembl. NCBI's taxonomy places the organism in Eukaryota, Metazoa, Chordata, Actinopteri, Cichliformes, Cichlidae.
GUUUAACGGCAGCUGGCAUCCUUGUACAUGCAGUGCUGCCAUCUUCUGUUUCAGUCCGUUAUUACACUCUUAAAUACUACUACUUAUUCCUGCGUCUUUUGGGAUCUUACAAAGCUUCAAACGACGCGUCGACUAUUAAAUUAGUCGUCGACGAUUUUAAUAGUCGACGUAAUCGUGACUAGUCGACUAAUCGUGGCAGCCCUAAUCGGCAUAAUGCUAUAAUGCUACGUAGCACUAUAAGUAUAUGCCAUGACAGUGGCAACCUGCGACUUCAGAAAAUGUGUUGUACUGUUUGUUUUAGUGUUAGCCAAGCAGUACUGAGUACAUGUAUUAAGGGGAAAGGCUUUCGUUGGUGAAACAACGUUUGGAGUCGUCUGCCGCCAUGUUGUGUUGCGUUCAGGGGACGCCAUGUUCAAAAGUGAUAGCGUAUAUGGCGCGAAUGUGGGGACAGGUUGUGUGAAUGUGAGAUGGGUUAUUUCGGUAUGUUGUUAUGCUUUAACCGCGAGUGUUUUGUUUAAGUUGUGAGUAUGUAAAGUUAUUUUGAAUUAGUUUGUAUUUAUUUUGCUUUUGAGAGAAUGCUUUUUGUAACUUUAUUUGUUUAUCAACUAUGUUAUUUUAUGGGAAGAAUGCAUGGUCUAGUGUGAUUUGUAUUGUGUAUAUGUGGAGAAAUAAAUGAGCUCCGGCCUGAGCAAGACGCUAACUUCGGUGUCCUCUCUAUUAAUCCACAGUUUGCUCAUACUUGGCUACGCAGUGCUCUCUAGCCUGUGUGCCGCUUGCUGCCGGUCCAGAUUCCCCUAGAUCUGGUGCAGGUACUGACAAACAAACUUUUAUGUUACCAAACUGGUUCUAAAUGUCAUUUUGCUCAUACUUGGCUACGCAGUGCUCUCUAGCCUGUGUGCCGCUUGCUGCCGGUCCAGAUUCCCCUAGAUCUGGUGCAGGUAACAUUUGCAUGAUCCAGUUGUAAUCUAAUAGCUUGAGGUUACUAUUAAUCAAUUGUUUUUGUGAUUUUACACAAAUUGACUUCCAUGUAGCCUCAGAAGUAUUGAUAUGUAAGUCAUUUCUCCAAGAUUCUAACUUAAAAUCUCCAGAAAACAAAUCUAAAUUAAAAAAAAAUCUGAAAGAGACUUUUAUUUAUUUUUUUAUUUUUUAUUUUUGAUGUUGAUGUCUCUAUUUUUAUUUCAAAAAAUGAAAUUAUUCAUUUCAGUUUCUAUGCCAAUUUUUCUAUGAUGCCAGUUCACAACAAAAGUUGCGUGAAAGCGCUUUAUACUGUAAGGUGAAAACCCUGCAGUAUUGUGGCGAAAACCCC